RNA transcript from Herpailurus yagouaroundi (jaguarundi), 3497 nucleotides. RefSeq lists it as uncharacterized. NCBI's taxonomy places the organism in Eukaryota, Metazoa, Chordata, Mammalia, Carnivora, Felidae. The record is from RefSeq and is a predicted model, not a curated record. The transcript is spliced from 4 exons.
ACCCUCUAGUUCCAUCCACGUAGUCAAAAAUGGCAAGAUUUCAUCCAAGAAUGUUUUCUAAACUGCAGCCUAUACAGCAUUUAGCUGUAAUGAGGUGGAUUAUAUCUAUCUUCCAUUGCUAGGAAUGUAGAUAGAUACCCAUGUCCCUGGGGCUAAUUUUCCUCCUAAUUCUUUAAUAGUCCCUUUUUAUUGCGAAAGAGUUUUCUAAAUUAGUAGGAUAUCCUUGUAUCAAUGUUACUUGGGAAACUUUAAGAACAUAAUGGCAUACUGUAGUUAUUUUUAUUUACAAAAGUGUUGACAUGGCCAGUGUAGCUUAUGGGCAAUUGCCUCUGGCUUAGGCCUAGAGACAGAGACUGCUGAUAGGGUUUUGCUCUCUUUGGCAAUCCCUGGCUUGCUUAUUAAUGGGAUUAGGUUUCAUAAAGGAGCUAGUGUUUACAAUAAAUAGGUUAGUGCCUCCAAAUGUGGGUUUAUAUUCUGUAAGUCUAUUUACUUAAAGGUUUGGUUGUUUCUAUUUCUCUAAGACUGUAUGUAGUUUUUGAGGUUUCUAUUUGGAUUUCUAUUUUUAUAACUUGUUUUAAAGGGUGGUGGUCUAAAUGGUUUCAGAGGCUAAUAGGACCUUAUAACUGUAGAUCUAUAUGGUCUAUUUUGAUUUGAUAUAUUGUAUCACCCUGUUUUGUCUGUGUGUGUGUGUGUGUGUGUGUGUGUGUGUGUGUAAGCCAUAGUCUUUAUCUUGACUUAGUUCCUCAGUUGUUCCUAUCAAGCCAAUCAGUCCUGUGUUUCUGGCACCUGCAAAGACUGUGAAUAAUCCUGCUCUGUCCUGCAGGGUGCAGCUUUUAGACUGACCUUUUAAAUUUGUUCUGUUGCUUCCAUAAAUAAUGGUGAGGGUAUCUGCCCCAUAUCAUUAAUCAUAGUUAAUAGCCAUCAUUUUAUUAUUAAUAGUUUCCCCUGCUGUUUUCCAUAGAAAUGUUUUAGGGAACGUAUAUUAGGUAUAGGCCAUUUUAAUCUCUAGGUUGCUGCUCCCUAAGUAUCUUUGUAAAUUAGUAUUAUUUUCUCCAAAUGCUCUAAGGUGUUGUUUCAAUUUAGCGUCAGUGGUAAUGAGUCCAAGUUGCACAAUCUCUGUUCCAAUAAGGACCAUGUUUUGUUUUUCUUUGGACCAUAAAUCUAAUAACUGCUGAGCUUGUGUCCAUUUCAAUUUGUUAGAAUUCCAUUCUAAUGUUUGUCAUUUCUUGUCUAAGCUCGCUCUUCAGUGUCUCUGAUUGGUUCCAUAUUCUCAUCUGUUUUAGUUUUGUCUGUUUUCACAGGCCUGGCUUUUUAGUUAAAUUUACCAGGGUCAAAGGGGUUAAAAUAAUCCUUUUCCUGGGGUGUGGAUUAGUGCCCUUAAGAGAAAAGGGACUGGUUUCUUCCUGCUCUGGGGAUUACUUUCUAUGCCAACACUUUCCUCUCUACAUCUGUUACUCAAUGCUCCUAAUAAGAGCACUGGAAUGUUUUCCUCAGUUCUUUUCAAUAUAGGCUAGAACUCACUGAAAUGGGUGAUCAGGCCAACACCUGGAGUUUAAGUUUUAUAGGUCUCCAGGGAUCUUUGCAGUUAAAUAUCACUCAAAUCAUCUCGAGCAAUUUUGUAGGGUGAAUGAGUGAGGCAUAGUUACCAUUGUCUUUUUUGUUGCCUGAUGGGGUCCCAUGCUUCUCUAGGAACCAGGACCUAUGGUGUCUCCAAAUGGAGGAUACCCUGUCAUGUGCUUUUAGCUCCUCCCCUGCAAGUCAGUUGAAAAAUCCACAGCUCUGUCUUUAAGCAGAAUAUGCCACUGUGGAUAGUUAGGCCUUUAUGCAUUAGGGUUGAUGUCUUGUACCCCCCCAUAACCCUCCUCCUAUGACCUAGCCUCAUCCAACAUUGCCCUGUUUUAUGUGUCUGGCUACCCUGACCUGUGCGGCCUGUGCCUGUACAACCCCCCACUCUGUCACCUGGCCUUCAGGCCCAGGGAGCUCUGGCUGGCCCCCAACCCCUUUAAUGGCCUCAGAGUGCAGCAAGCCCACCCCUUGAACAUUAAGUGGUAGAUUUAAACUGGCAACAGUCUGUUGCAAUUUGGACUGGUUGUCUGAUCGGGUCCUGGGCUUUUCCAACAAUGAGGGCUCCCACAGAAGCCCCUGGUUUAAGCUGGAAGCUAAAAGGUUGGCUUUAAGAGAUACCCGGGAGUCUUGAUUACAGGUAAACCUGGGACCUAUUUAUGGGGACUGAAUGUUGCCAGUUUAAAUUUGUCACCUCAGAUUCAUGAAGGGUCAUGGCGUGGAUUUAUUUCUCCCUGGAGGCUAUGCAGGUGGCUGUUGACAGGCCCCAGCUCCAACCACCUGGAGGGCUCCUGGUGUCUCAGGCCAGCUGAAGGAAAUGAACUGCACAUGAGUGUGUUGCACAGUUUAGGGUAGCCAGGGACCUAAAACAUAGCCAUGGUCUUGAGAGGCUGGGUCACAAGAGAAUCUCUUGAAGAAAAGACAUAUGUAUAUAUGCAAACCUAACCUAAUUCACUCCCUGAAGGCAGAGCUUGAAUUAAUGGCCUGCAAUGGCGGGGCAGGUCUGGGAGUGCUGGCCAUGGUAUCAUCUAAUAAGAGGUUCCUUCAGUCUAAGGUUGCAGAAGUCCCUAACCUCUCAGACAUCAAGCCCAAAUGGGGACUGUUGCCAAUCACCGGCUGCUUCUUCCAGGUGAUUUUCAUGGUGGGCCCACAACAUAGCAGAAACUGUGCCAUUAUUUGGGAAAGGUCCAAGCUCCAUGGGUCUAAAGGAACUGAAUCCCUCAAGGAACCUGAAGGGGGUAAAUUGCGAAUACCCAGGCCACGCAGGUCAGGUAGAGAAAAAAUUUUCUUCCCCAUCAGUUGGCGUAGGGGUGGGAUAAAUUUCCCAGACUGGAUACUGUUUGCUUUGAGGCUGCUGCAGCUGAGAGAUGCCAACACAUCUGAUCAACAGCUGGCAGAAGUUACAGAUUUCGUUGUGUCUUUGAAGUGUAAAACAGCCCACAAUCUCUUGAAAAUGAAAAAGAAAAAAAUGGAAGGAAAGAGGCCUUGUUAAAAAUACAAAGUGCAAUUAGUACUCUUGCCCAAACUAUAGAUCACAGCUUCUAGCAGAUUACUGCCAGGGACAAAUACCAGUCUUAAAAGACCUCUCCAAAAAUAGCAAAUGACUUGAAUCAUCUGAGGAAAUUAAUAUUCCCCCUACGAUUCAAAAACUGUGAUUUUACAGGCUCUGGUUUAAGAUUCUGAUGUAAGAUCCUGAACUCACCUCCUCCGCAGACACACCAAAUAUACACCUAUUUCUAGAGUAAUUCCCUCUGAAGAACUGAGGGCUGAGAAGCUCCUGCACAAUCAAAGACUGAGAGAAGGGCAGGAAAGAUGGAGACACUGGAAGAAAGGAACUCUCACUUUGAUGCUAUAGAUUGCAGCAAGGAGGAAUAGAACCCAAGGAAUUAUGAACAGAUCUGUUUGCCUGGGGCACAGAAAAAAACAAAACAAAA